This 423-nucleotide long non-coding RNA is filed under the name Aquila chrysaetos chrysaetos. RNAcentral describes it as "lncRNA (ENSACCG00020003630.1)". Lineage: Eukaryota; Metazoa; Chordata; Aves; Accipitriformes; Accipitridae. The record is from RNAcentral.
GCCGGGGCACCGGCCCCUCGUCGGGAAGGCCGGACGGCGGAGCGCUGCCACGUAUCGCCCCCACCCCCGCCCACGUAACGGCCGCCGCGGCCUCCGGACCGGGACGUUCCCCUCAGGGCGCGCCGCGCCGCCUCGUCCCCCUGACCCACCCACACGCCGCCGCCGCCACAUAGGCGGAAAGAAAUUAGUCGAAAAUGGGAACCUCCGCCAGGACGAUAAAAAACUGCUGAAGUAUCAGAGCCUACCUAGUUCCUGGCAGUGGCUGUGCUCCAAGUCUUUGAUCAUACUCAUCCUCUUUGAACCUUUUCCUGUUUUUCACUAUCCUUUUGGAGACGACGGGCCGUGACCUGCAUACAGUGUUUGAAGACACAGGUGAGUCAUCUUUGUAUCAUAACAAGUUAGCUCACAGUACUGCUUAGCUUU